CAAUAGCGUAUAUUUAAGUUGUUGCAGUUAAAAAGCUCGUAGUUGGAUUUCGGUUGAGAACGGCCGGUCCGCCGUUUGGUGUGCACUGGCUGGUCUCAACUUCCUGAUGAGGACAUGCUCUUGGUUAACGCUGAGACAUGGAGUCAUCGUGGUUACUUGAAAAAAUUAGAGUGUUCAAAGCGGGCUUACGCUUGAAUAUAUUAGCAUGGAAUAACACUAUAGGACUCCUGUCCUAUCUCGUUGGUCUCGGGAUGGGAGUAAUGAUUAAGAGGAACAGUUGGGGGCAUUCGUAUUUCAUUGUCAGAGGUGAAAUUCUUGGAUUUAUGAAAGACGAACUUCUGCGAAAGCAUUUGCCAAGGAUGUUUUCAUUAAUCAAGAACGAAAGUUGGGGGCUCGAAGACGAUCAGAU
This 409-nucleotide ribosomal RNA is filed under the name uncultured eukaryote. Its description in RNAcentral is "SSU rRNA". It matches the Rfam family "Eukaryotic small subunit ribosomal RNA", at positions 592 to 1013 of the family's 1831-position model. The record is from RNAcentral.